AGUGAAAUGCUGAAUACAACAGGUGUAGUAGACCUCACAGUGAAAUGCUGAAUACAACAGGUGUAGUAGACCUCACAGUGAAAUGCUGAAUACAACAGGUGUAGUAGACCUUACAGUGAAAUGCUGAAUACAACAGGUGUAGUAGACCUCACAGUGAAAUGCUGAAUACAACAGGUGUAGUAGACCUCACAGUGAAAUGCUGAAUACAACAGGUGUAGUAGACCGUACAGUGAAAUGCUGACUGACGGGUCCUUUAGAACAAUGUAGAGAAAAAAUAGAAAAAAAUAAAAAAUAAAUGAGUAACAACUUGUCAGUAUACACUGGGUACCAGGUAAUAACAUGGUUAUAUACACAGGGUACCAGUACUGAGUAGAUGUGCAGGGGUAUGAGGUAAUAACAUGGUUAUAUACACUGGGUACCAGUAUGGAGUCAAUGUGCAGGGUAUGAGGUAAUAACAUGGUUAUAUACACAGGGUACCAGUACUGAGUAGAUGUAGAGGGGUAUGAGGUAAUAACAUGGUUAUAUACACAGGGUACCAGUACUGAGUAGAUGUAGAGGGGUAUGAGGUAAUAACAUGGCUAUAUACACAGGGUACCAGUACUGAGUAGAUAUGCAGGGGUAUGAGGUAAUAACAUGGUUAUAUACACAGGGUACCAGUACUGAGUAGAUGUAGAGGGGUAUGAGGUAAUAACAUGGCUAUAUACACAGGGUACCAGUACUGAGUAGAUAUGCAAGGGUAUGAGGUAAUAACAUGGUUAUAUACACUGGGUACCAGUACUGAGUAGAUAUGCAGGGGUAUGAGGUAAUAACAUGGUUAUAUACACUGGGUACCAGUACUGAGUAGAUAUGCAAGGGUAUGAGGUAAUAACAUGGUUAUAUACACACUAUUUAGCAGUCAACCAGGAUUUCUGGAAAAUGUAGGAAUUUGGUGAAAGCUGAAUUUAGCAACCCUAGCUUGGAUGAAAUACUACAUGCAGACACAGUAACAUGGUUAUAUACACAGGGCACCAGUACUGAUGAAAUACUACAUGCAGACACAGUAACAUGGUUAUAUACACAGGGCACCAGUACUGAUGAAAUACUACAUGCAGACACAGUAACAUGGUUAUAUACACAGGGCACCAGUACUGAUGAAAUACUACAUGCAGACACAGUAACAUGGUUAUAUACACAGGGCACCAGUACUGAUGAAAUACUACAUGCAGA
Molecule: long non-coding RNA, 1206 nt
Organism: Oncorhynchus tshawytscha (Chinook salmon)
Lineage: Eukaryota; Metazoa; Chordata; Actinopteri; Salmoniformes; Salmonidae
Source: Ensembl